GGAUUUCCGAAUGAGGAAACUCACAUGGGUAACCCCAUGUAUCAUGCACUGAAUACAUAGGUGUAUGAGGGUAAACCCGGGGAACUGAAACAUCUAAGUACCCGGAGGAAGAGAAAGAAAAAUCGAUUUCCUAAGUAGCGGCGAGCGAACGGGAAAGAGCCCAAACCAGAAACUUGUUUCUGGGGUUGUGGAUAGAUCAUAAAAGAAGAGGUAUCUUAAUCGAAAAGGGCUGGAACGCCCUACCAUAGAAGGUAAUAGUCCUGUAGAUAAAAAGAGAAAACUUCGAGAUCUAAUCCAGAGUACCACGAGACACGUGAAACCUUGUGGGAAGCAGGGAGGACCACCUCCCAAGGCUAAAUACUACCUAGUGACCGAUAGUGAAGCAGUACCGUGAGGGAAAGGUGAAAAGAACCCCGGAAGGGGAGUGAAAUAGAACCUGAAACCGUGUGCCUACAACCGAUCGAAGCACGUUAAAGUGUGACGAUGUGCUUUUUGUAGAACGAGCCAGCGAGUUACGCUAUGUAGCAAGGUUAAGUACUUAAGGUACGGAGCCGAAGGGAAACCGAGUCUGAAAAGGGCGAAAAGUUGCAUGGUGUAGACCCGAAACCGGGUGACCUAUCCAUGGCCAGGUUGAAGCGAGAGUAAAAUCUCGUGGAGGACCGAACCACGUUGGUGUUGAAAAACCAUGGGAUGAGCUGUGGAUAGCGGAGAAAUUCCAAUCGAACUCGGAGAUAGCUGGUUCUCCCCGAAAUAGCUUUAGGGCUAGCGUCGUGUAAUUGAGUAAUGGAGGUAGAGCACUGAAUGGGCUAGGGGCUAUAGUAGUUACCGAACCCUAUCAAACUCCGAAUGCCAUAUACUUGUAUCACGGCAGUCAGACUGCGAAUGAUAAGAUCCGUAGUCAAAAGGGAAACAGCCCAGACCAUCAGCUAAGGUCCCAAAGUGUAAGUUAAGUGGAAAAGGAUGUGGGAUUUCUAAGACAACUAGGAUGUUGGCUUAGAAGCAGCCACUCAUUUAAAGAGUGCGUAAUAGCUCACUAGUCAAGAGAUCCUGCGCCGAAGAUGUCCGGGGCUCAAACUUACCACCGAAGCUAUGGGUGUACACUACGUGUACGCGGUAGGGGAGCUUUCUGUAUGGGUUGAAGUCAUACCGUAAGGAGUGGUGGACUGUACAGAAGUGAGAAUGCUGGCAUAAGUAGCGAGAAAUAAGUGAGAAUCUUAUUGGCCGAAAACCUAAGGUUUCCUGGGGAAGGUUCGUCCGCCCAGGGUUAGUCGGGACCUAAGCCGAGGCCGAAAGGCGUAGGUGAUGGACAAUCGGUUGAUAUUCCGAUACCACCUAUUUACGUUUGAGAAAUGGGGUGACGCAGUAGGAUAAGAUGUGCGCACUAUUGGAUGUGCGUCUAAGCAUUUAGGCAUGCUUGAUAGGCAAAUCCGUCAAGCUAAGCUGAGAUGUUAUGGGGAGCCAAUUAUGGCGAAGUAUCUGAUUCCACACUGCCAAGAAAAGCCUCUAUCGAGUGAAUAGGUGCCCGUACCGCAAACCGACACAGGUAGGUGAGGAGAGAAUCCUAAGGCCAUCGGAAGAAUUGCUGUUAAGGAACUCGGCAAAUUGACCCCGUAACUUCGGGAGAAGGGGUGCCUACGAAAGUAGGCCGCAGAGAAUAGGCCCAAGCAACUGUUUAGCAAAAACACAGGUCUCUGCUAAAGCGAAAGCUGAUGUAUAGGGGCUGACGCCUGCCCGGUGCUGGAAGGUUAAGGGGAACACUUAGCGUAAGCGAAGGUGUGAACUUAAGCCCCAGUAAACGGCGGCCGUAACUAUAACGGUCCUAAGGUAGCGAAAUUCCUUGUCGGGUAAGUUCCGACCCGCACGAAUGGCGUAAUGAUUUGGGCACUGUCUCAACAGCAAAUCCGGCGAAAUUGUAGUGCAAGUGAAGAUGCUUGCUACCCGCGAUUGGACGGAAAGACCCCGUAGAGCUUUACUGUAGCUUAGCAUUGAAUCUCGGUAUUGUCUGUACAGGAUAGGUGGGAGACUUGGAAACUUGGGCGUCAGCCUGAGUGGAGUCAUCCUUGGGAUACCACCCUGACAGUACUGGGGUUCUAACCGGCG
Molecule: ribosomal RNA, 2100 nt
Filed under: Clostridium sporogenes
Lineage: Bacteria; Bacillati; Bacillota; Clostridia; Eubacteriales; Clostridiaceae
Description: partial 23S ribosomal RNA
Rfam family: Bacterial large subunit ribosomal RNA
Source: RNAcentral